This 81-nucleotide transfer RNA is filed under the name Stylochaeton bogneri. Its description in RNAcentral is "tRNA-Met". It matches the Rfam family "tRNA". Rfam says of the family: Transfer RNA (tRNA) molecules are approximately 80 nucleotides in length. Their secondary structure includes four short double-helical elements and three loops (D, anti-codon, and T loops). The record is from RNAcentral. Lineage: Eukaryota; Viridiplantae; Streptophyta; Magnoliopsida; Alismatales; Araceae.
GCAUCCAUGGAUGAAUGGUUAAAGCGUAAAGCGCCCAACUCAUAAUUGGCAAAUUCGUAGGUUUAAUUCCUGCUGGAUGCA